UGGAUUGUAUCUCAUUAACCUAUCUCCGUGGAACAAGGCUGCAAUUGCUAAACUCUGCUGGGAUCUGGCUCACAAGAAAGACAGACUGUGGGUAAAAUGGAUUCAUGCUGUUUAUAUGAAGCUGCACCAAUUGGAGAACAUUCCUAUUCCUAGACAAGCUAGUUGGAUGGUUAGAAAGAUCAUAGCAGCAAGAGAUGUGCUGCAACAACAACAAGGCCUUAAUAUGCAAGUAUGCUUCAUUAGACAAAUCUAUCUACUACAGAUUGGUCAACUCCCGAGAGUCCCUUGGAAGAACCUAACUGUUCAGAACUGUAAUAUGCAAGUAUGCUCCAUUUGACAAAUCUAUCUACUACAGAUUGGUCAACUCCCGAGAGUCCCUUGGAAGAACCUAAUUGUUCAAAACUAUGCCAGACCCAAAGCUGUUUUCAACUUAUGGUUAGUACUCCAUAACAGACUUCCAACCAAGGAUAGGCUAACAUAUUGGGGAAUAAAUGUGGACCAGAAAUAUGUGUUGUGCCAAAAUAUUGCAGAAUCCAGAGAUCAUCUGUUCCUUACCUGUCCAUAUUCAACAGACUUAAGGGAGCAAACACUGACUUGGAUUAGAGAAGACCAUCCCAGAAUGAGGACUGGGGCCAGUACCUCCAGUGGAUAGUUAGCAAAGCUAAAGGAAAAUCUUGUAGAGCUAACAUAUUCAAAAUAGUGACUGCUGAACUAUGCUAUGCUUUGUGGCUGGAGAGAAACUCGAGGAUAUUCGAGAAUGCCUUCUGUAGCAGUGAUACUUUACUCAGGGAACUAGCCUAUAUUUGUAAUGUUAGAGGAACUCCUAAAGUUAGACAACAGAUGAAGCAAUUUCUCUUGUAAAUAUAGGUAAGGAUAGUUAUAGAGAUAGUUGCGG
Molecule: long non-coding RNA, 895 nt
Filed under: Nicotiana benthamiana
Lineage: Eukaryota; Viridiplantae; Streptophyta; Magnoliopsida; Solanales; Solanaceae
Description: long non-coding RNA (NBEN_LNC030974)
Source: RNAcentral